CGUGCCGGUCGGCGCAUCGCUCCGCCCGCCCGCUGGGGGCUGUCCCUCAGCGCAGCAGCGGCGGUGAGGAAAGUCCGAACGCCGCUGGGCACCGUGCUUCCUAACGGGAAGGCGCUCUUCCGAGCAACGGCUCGGACGGGCGACGGCUCGUGCCACAGAAAACAGACCGCCAAUGGCCCGCCCCCCGGCAACGGGUUUGCGGGCACAGGUAAGGGUGCAACGGUGCGGUAAGAGCGCACCGGCGUUUGCGGCGACGCAAGCGGCCCGGCAAACCCCACGGGGCGCAAGGCCCAGCAGCGCUGCACCGGCCCCCUGGGCCGGACACGGCGGCCCGUCGAAACGUUGCGGUCAGUAUUGCUGGCCGCCGGCGUUGCAGCGCGGGUAGGUCGCUCGAGGCGACCGGCGACGGUCGUCCAUAGAUAGAUGAUCGCGCUCCCCGGCGCUCGGUGCCCCUUCAGCGACGCCGGCGCGGGUAGACCGAAUUCGGCUUACAGACCGGUACGCCUC
Molecule: RNase P RNA, 507 nt
Filed under: Bacteroidetes bacterium QS_8_68_28
Lineage: Bacteria; Pseudomonadati; Bacteroidota
Description: RNase P RNA component class A
Rfam family: Bacterial RNase P class A
About the family: Ribonuclease P (RNase P) is a ubiquitous endoribonuclease, found in archaea, bacteria and eukarya as well as chloroplasts and mitochondria. Its best characterised activity is the generation of mature 5'-ends of tRNAs by cleaving the 5'-leader elements of precursor-tRNAs.
Source: RNAcentral